RNAcentral lists this ribosomal RNA (253 nucleotides) under uncultured bacterium. Its description in RNAcentral is "partial 16S ribosomal RNA". It matches the Rfam family "Bacterial small subunit ribosomal RNA", at positions 524 to 776 of the family's 1533-position model. The record is from RNAcentral.
CACGUAGGGCGCAAGCGUUGUCCGGAAUUAUUGGGCGUAAAGAGCUCGUAGGCGGUCUGUUGCGUCCGCUGUGAAAACUCGGGGCUUAACCCCGAGCCUGCAGUGGAUACGGGCAGACUAGAGGUAGGUAGGGGAGAAUGGAAUUCCCGGUGUAGCGGUGAAAUGCGCAGAUAUCGGGAGGAACACCAAUGGCGAAGGCAGCUCGCUGGGACGUGACUGACGCUGAGACGCGAAAGCGUGGGGAGCAAACAGG